GUGCUUGCUUUGGCAGCACAUAUACUAAAAUCGGAAUAAUACAGAGAAGAUUAGCAUGGCCCCUGCUCAAGAUUGACAUGGAAAUUCAUGAAGCAUUCCAUAUUUAA
Small nuclear RNA from Jaculus jaculus (lesser Egyptian jerboa), 107 nucleotides. The record is from Ensembl. Lineage: Eukaryota; Metazoa; Chordata; Mammalia; Rodentia; Dipodidae.